UACGUGGGGGCCGAGCGUUGUCCGGAGUUACUGGGCGUAAAGGGCGCGCAGGCGGCGGCGUGGGUCCGGCGUGAAAGCCCCCGGCUCAACCGGGGAACGUCGUCGGGGACCGCGCCGCUUGAGGGCGGCAGGGGCCGGUGGAAUGCCUGGUGUAGUGGUGAAAUGCGUAGAUAUCGGGAGGAACACCAGUGGCGAAGGCGGCAUCCUGGACCGGUAUUGACGCUGAGGCGCGAAAGCCAGGGGAGCAAACGGG
RNAcentral lists this ribosomal RNA (253 nucleotides) under uncultured bacterium. RNAcentral describes it as "partial 16S ribosomal RNA". It matches the Rfam family "Bacterial small subunit ribosomal RNA", at positions 524 to 776 of the family's 1533-position model. The record is from RNAcentral.